GAGUAGCUCAGUUGGAUAGAGUGUUUGGCUACGAACCAAAAGGUCGGGGGUUCGAAUCCCUUCAGCC
This 67-nucleotide transfer RNA is filed under the name human gut metagenome. It matches the Rfam family "tRNA", at positions 7 to 64 of the family's 71-position model. From Rfam's summary of the family: Transfer RNA (tRNA) molecules are approximately 80 nucleotides in length. Their secondary structure includes four short double-helical elements and three loops (D, anti-codon, and T loops). Further hydrogen bonds mediate the characteristic L-shaped molecular structure. tRNAs have two regions of fundamental functional importance: the anti-codon, which is responsible for specific mRNA codon recognition, and the 3' end, to which the tRNAs corresponding amino acid is attached (by aminoacyl-tRNA synthetases). tRNAs cope with the degeneracy of the genetic code in two manners: having more than one tRNA (with a specific anti-codon) for a particular amino acid; and 'wobble' base-pairing, i.e. permitting non-standard base-pairing at the 3rd anti-codon position. The record is from RNAcentral.